This 447-nucleotide ribosomal RNA is filed under the name uncultured bacterium. RNAcentral describes it as "bacterial SSU rRNA". It matches the Rfam family "Bacterial small subunit ribosomal RNA", at positions 355 to 825 of the family's 1533-position model. The record is from RNAcentral.
UCGGGAAUUUUGGGCAAUGGGGGAAACCCUGACCCAGCAACGCCACGUGAAGGAUGAAGUAUUUCGGUAUGUAAACUUCGAAAGAAUAGGUAGAAUAAAUGACGGUACUAUUUAUAAGGUCCGGCUAACUACGUGCCAGCAGCCGCGGUAAUACGUAGGGACCAAGCGUUGUUCGGAUUUACUGGGCGUAAAGGGCGCGUAGGCGGCAUGACAAGUCACUUGUGAAAUCUCUGGGCUUAACCCAGAACGGCCAAGUGAUACUGUCGCGCUAGAGUGCAGAAGGGGCAAUCGGAAUUCUUGGUGUAGCGGUGAAAUGCGUAGAUAUCAAGAGGAACACCUGAGGUGAAGACGGGUUGCUGGGCUGACACUGACGCUGAGGCGCGAAAGCCAGGGGAGCAAACGGGAUUAGAUACCCCGGUAGUCCCUGAGCGGGCUGGCAAGGCGCAU